CCUACGGGAGGCAGCAGUAGGGAAUCUUCCGCAAUGGACGCAAGUCUGACGGAGCAACGCCGCGUGAGUGAAGAAGGUCUUCGGAUCGUAAAGCUCUGUUGUUAGAGAAGAACAGCGCAUAGAGUAACUGUUAUGCGUGUGACGGUAUCUAACCAGAAAGCCACGGCUAACUACGUGCCAGCAGCCGCGGUAAUACGUAGGUGGCGAGCGUUGUCCGGAUUUAUUGGGCGUAAAGGGAGUGUAGGCGGUCUUUUAAGUCUGAUGUGAAAGCCCACGGCUCAACCGUGGAGGGUCAUUGGAAACUGGGAGACUUGAGUGCAGAAGAGGAGAGCGGAAUUCCAUGUGUAGCGGUGAAAUGCGUAGAUAUAUGGAGGAACACCAGUGGCGAAGGCGGCUCUCUGGUCUGUAACUGACGCUGAGGCUCGAAAGCGUGGGGAGCAAACAGGAUUAGAUACCCUGGUAGUCCACGCCGUAAACGAUGAGUGCUAAGUGUUGGAGGGGUUCCACCCUUCAGUGCUGGAGUUAACGCAAUAAGCACUCCGCCUGGGGAGUACGGCCGCAAGGCUGAAACUCAAAGGAAUUGACGG
Molecule: ribosomal RNA, 587 nt
Filed under: uncultured bacterium
Lineage: Bacteria
Description: bacterial SSU rRNA
Rfam family: Bacterial small subunit ribosomal RNA
Source: RNAcentral